UACGGAGGAUGCAAGUGUUAUCCGGAAUCACUGGGCGUAAAGCGUCUGUAGGUCGUUUAACAAGUCUACUGUUAAAAAUUGAAGCUUAACUUCAAAGAUGCCGUAGAAACUUUUAAACUUGAGUAUGGUAGGGGUAGAGGGAAUUUCCAGUGGAGCGGUGAAAUGCGUAGAUAUUGGAAAGACCACCAACGGCGAAGGCAGGUUACUGGUACGCAACUGACGCUGAGGCACGAAAGCGUGGGGAGCAAACAGG
This 253-nucleotide ribosomal RNA is filed under the name uncultured bacterium. Its description in RNAcentral is "partial 16S ribosomal RNA". It matches the Rfam family "Bacterial small subunit ribosomal RNA", at positions 524 to 776 of the family's 1533-position model. The record is from RNAcentral.